CAGCCGCCACGGUAAUACGUAGGUGGCAAGCGUUGUCCGGAAUUAUUGGGCGUAAAGGGCUCGCAGGCGGUUUCUCAAGUCUGAUGUGAAAGCCCCCGGCUCAACCGGGGAGGGUCAUUGGAAACUGGGAAACUUGAGUGCAGAAGAGGAGAGUGGAAUUCCACGUGUAGCGGUGAAAUGCGUAGAGAUGUGGAGGAACACCAGUGGCGAAGGCGACUCUCUGGUCUGUAACUGACGCUGAGGAGCGAAAGCGUGGGGAGCGAACAGGAUUAGAUACCCCAGUAGUCCCUGUCUCUUAUAC
Molecule: ribosomal RNA, 301 nt
Filed under: uncultured bacterium
Lineage: Bacteria
Description: partial 16S ribosomal RNA
Rfam family: Bacterial small subunit ribosomal RNA
Source: RNAcentral